GUUUACGGCCAUGCCACCCUGAACAAGCCCGAUCCUGGCUGAUCUCGGAAGCUAAGCAAUUUUCUUUCCCUGGUUAGUAUUGGGAGACCACCUAGGAGGACCAGGUGCUGUAGGCA
Molecule: ribosomal RNA, 116 nt
Filed under: Pteropus alecto (black flying fox)
Lineage: Eukaryota; Metazoa; Chordata; Mammalia; Chiroptera; Pteropodidae
Source: RNAcentral